GACGAACGCUGGCGGCGUGCUUAACACAUGCAAGUCGAACGGAAGGGCCCUGCUUUUGUGGGGUGCUCGAGUGGCGAACGGGUGAGUAACACGUGAGUAACCUGCCCUUGACUUUGGGAUAACUUCAGGAAACUGGAGCUAAUACCGGAUAGGAGCUCCUGCUGCAUGGUGGGGGUUGGAAAGUUUCGGCGGUUGGGGAUGGACUCGCGGCUUAUCAGCUUGUUGGUGGGGUAGUGGCUUACCAAGGCUUUGACGGGUAGCCGGCCUGAGAGGGUGACCGGCCACAUUGGGACUGAGAUACGGCCCAGACUCCUACGGGAGGCAGCAGUGGGGAAUAUUGCACAAUGGGCGGAAGCCUGAUGCAGCAACGCCGCGUGCGGGAUGACGGCCUUCGGGUUGUAAACCGCUUUCGCCUGUGACGAAGCGUGAGUGACGGUAAUGGGUAAAGAAGCACCGGCUAACUACGUG
Molecule: ribosomal RNA, 468 nt
Filed under: uncultured bacterium
Lineage: Bacteria
Description: partial 16S ribosomal RNA
Rfam family: Bacterial small subunit ribosomal RNA
Source: RNAcentral